UUCUAACCGUAAACGAUGACAACCAGCGAUUAGUCGGCGUUAAUAUAAGACCCGACUAGCAGCUUCCGGGAAACCAAAGUUUUUCGUUUCCGGGGGAAGUAUGGUUGCAAAGCUGAAACUUAAAGGAAUUGACGGAAGGGCACCACCAGGAGUGGAGCCUGCGGCUUAAUUUGACUCAACACGGGAAAACUCACCCGGCCCGGACACCGUAAGGAUUGACAGACUGAGAGCUCUUUCUUAAUUCGGUGGGUGGUGGUGCAUGGCCGUUCUUAGUUGGUGGAGCGAUUUGUCUGGUUAAUUCCGAUAACGAACGAGACUCUGGCCUAUUAAAUAGCCGGUAUAUCUAGAAAAAGUAUGCCGCGCUUCUUAGAGGGACAACCGGCGUCUAGCCGCGUGAAAUAGAGCAAUAACAGGUCUGUGAUGCCCUUAGAUGUCCGGGGCUGCACGCGCGCUACACUGAAAGAAUCAGUAUGCGCCUUCGCCUAGUUCGGAAGAACCGGGUAACCCGAGCAAAUUCUUUCGUGCUUGGGAUAGGGAAUUGCAAUUAUUUCCCUUAAACGAGGAAUUCCCAGUAAAUGCGGGUCAUAAGCUCGCGUUG
RNAcentral lists this ribosomal RNA (598 nucleotides) under Xiphinema cf. brasiliense 802S-005. RNAcentral's name for it is "SSU rRNA". It matches the Rfam family "Eukaryotic small subunit ribosomal RNA", at positions 1024 to 1643 of the family's 1831-position model. Lineage: Eukaryota; Metazoa; Nematoda; Enoplea; Dorylaimida; Longidoridae. The record is from RNAcentral.